Molecule: non-coding RNA, 90 nt
Organism: Russula brevipes
Lineage: Eukaryota; Fungi; Basidiomycota; Agaricomycetes; Russulales; Russulaceae
Source: the annotation of a GenBank genome assembly
GCCGGGGUAGCUCAGCUGGGAGAGCAACAGACUGAAGCGCAGCGUGCACAAGUAUUCUGGAGGUCCCGUGUUCAAUCCACGGUCCUGGCA